Molecule: ribosomal RNA, 468 nt
Filed under: uncultured bacterium
Lineage: Bacteria
Description: partial 16S ribosomal RNA
Rfam family: Bacterial small subunit ribosomal RNA
Source: RNAcentral
GACGAACGCUGGCGGCGUGCUUAACACAUGCAAGUCGAACGGACAGGCCCUGCUUUUGCGGGGUGCUCGAGUGGCGAACGGGUGAGUAACACGUGAGUAACCUGCCCUUGACUUUCUGAUAACUUCACGAAACUGGGGCUAAUACCCGAUAGGAUCUCCUGCUCCAUGGUGGUGGAUGGUAAAUUUCGGCGGUUGUGGCUCGACUCGCGGCUUAUCAGCUUGUUGGUGGGGUAGUGACUUACCAAGGCUUUGACGGAUAGCCGGCCUGAGAGGUUGACCAGCCACAUGGGGACUGAGAUACGGCCCAGAAUCCUACGGGAGGCAGCAGUGGGGAAUAUUGCACAAUGGGGGGAAGCCUGAUGCAGCAACGCCGCGUGCGGGAUGACGGCCUUCGGGUUGUAAACCGCUUUCGCCGGUGACGAAGCGUGAGUGACGGUAAUGGGUAAAGAAGCACCGGCUAACUACGUG